Molecule: long non-coding RNA, 1094 nt
Organism: Daucus carota subsp. sativus
Lineage: Eukaryota; Viridiplantae; Streptophyta; Magnoliopsida; Apiales; Apiaceae
Exons: 2
Source: RefSeq, a predicted model, not a curated record
CACACUUCUAUGAAAAUCUUCUAUGCGCCCUCUGGUAGCGUGGAUGCUAACAUAUCUAGUCUCGCGUAACAAUCCCUGCUGUUGCCAUCAACUGUUGUUGCCAUGGCUAAUAAAUUGAUGUUGUUGCCAUCAACUGUUGUUGCCAUGGCUAAUAAAUUGAUUCAGGGUCGAUGUGAGAUGGAUAUUAGAUAUUCUAUUCCAAUUGCCGAAAUGGCAAAGAAGGAAAGAAUUCGGAUACUCUUCUUUGUCAAAAUGGCAUUAUAUUAAUGAGGGUGUCGUCGAAGUUUGCUAAACUAAUUCUCCUUCCGACAAUGUCGACCGCAAAAGGCCAGGCUUGUUUAUAGUUCUUUAUCCAAUGCCGACAUGGUGGCUAGACGAGCUAACCUACUAAGAAAAGGAAGCUCAUUUCAACCGAUAUCGUAGACUCUCACGUAGACUCUCACAAAAGAGGUGGAGGAUUUUGAGAAGGAUAUGGCGGAGAACACCAAAGAGCAGACCAAUGCCGCUAUUGACUCAUUGAUUAUGUCAUUAUGACAGACAUCUAGAAAACAGGUCACACUUCUACAUUUAUGAGGUUAUCCAGAUAUUAGAGAAAUGAGGUAGUAAAGAUGAUAGAUUUAUCAAAUAUUAGGAGUUGAUUGUUUAUACAAAUGAAAGUUUGGUGGACACCCUUGAUAGUGACCAAAUGAUAUUGCAUCAUUGUUGCAGUCUACUUGACAUGGGCAGAUCCUAAUGCUAGGGUGUACUUUCAAGUUCAUUCCGAAGCUACUACUCUAGAGUUUCAGAAACUACCUUUGAAGUAUAGUAAUUUUAUUGCUGCUUUGUAUUGAUGUUCUUUAUUGCUGCUUUGUAUUGAUGUUCUUUAUUGUUGCUUUGUAUUGAUGUUCAUUGUUUUAGUAUGUUUGAUGCUUGUCUAGCUUAGUGAUACUUUUUAGUGUGUUAGACUAAAUUUUUUAUGAGAUGAAGCCUGUUUCUCUCAUAAGGUCUAAGCAUGGCUACACCCUGCUUUGGUGUAUCUUUUCUUGCUGGAUUUAAACAAUUAAGUUACCAAAAUAAAGAAUCACAGACUUAUGCAAUGCAAGGAUUUUUUUAAA